Molecule: long non-coding RNA, 803 nt
Organism: Diabrotica virgifera virgifera (western corn rootworm)
Lineage: Eukaryota; Metazoa; Arthropoda; Insecta; Coleoptera; Chrysomelidae
Exons: 2
Source: RefSeq, a predicted model, not a curated record
ACAUGUUUUUGAUUUUAUGUAAUGUAAUGAAAAUCUUAUUUGUAAAUUAUUGGUUACAAUGUUUAACAAUAGGAAAUAUUCAAGAAUAAAUAAAAUAAAAGUUUAAUCCUAACAACACAAAACAUUCCAGGAAUAUAGGUACUACCGUUCUAUUCCGUGAACAUCUAUCUGAUUAAAUUAUGGGUGGAAAGUUACCACAAGAUAUUCUAUGAACAUAGUACAAUGUCUUCCUGGAGGGGUAAAAUUUUCCAUUACAAGAUUUUAAGAGAGGCCAUUUACUGUUCAAUUUGCGUUCAUUUUCAAAUUUGCCGCGCGAGUAUCUAUGUAGCGUCGCGUGGUCAUUGGUCAUCACAUUUCAUUUUCAUAAGAUAACCGAUAACCUAAAAAUUUAGUAAAAAUCAUGUAAAAAUUUUGAUUGGAAAAAAAUGCAUCGAUAAGGGGGUGUGGGAAAUGGAAAUUAGUGGCUUUUCUGCUGUACUGUCUGCUAGUCAAAUCACACAACACUUUUUUCUAUGCUGCUAGUUUUUGCUCUGGGCUCUGGCUGGAUCUCUUGUUUAAACAAUUUUAAUCAGCUGAAAGUGGCCUACAAAAAAAAAACCAAGAAGGAAAUGUAUAGCCUUGUGGCUAUGAAAGGCAAAAGAGAGAUAUAAAAAGUAUAUUGGCUAGUUGGAAGAAAGUCCACAUUGUCCAUGCAUAAUAAGUUAUUACUUUAUCAACAAAUAUCAAGAAGAUAGCAGGGUCACGAGCAACAACUUCAUAAGUUCAAGAAUAUCGAGGAAAUCCAGCUCCUCGAUACUACUGGG